Molecule: long non-coding RNA, 2300 nt
Filed under: Homo sapiens (human)
Lineage: Eukaryota; Metazoa; Chordata; Mammalia; Primates; Hominidae
Description: novel transcript
Source: RNAcentral
GGUUUUGUGACAACCUAGUGAUGUUAAGAGAAAAUUAAAUACUCGAUAAAAUAGCUUAUUUGAAAAGAUUACAAGCGAAGGCGUCUAGAUUUGGGCUUCUCCUGCAACAUUAAACAUGAGGAUUCACUGUCCAAAUAUGGGUUCCGCAUAUAAGAGAGCUGCUGUUUUCUCCUGCGCUGACAGGCAAUGCUAUGUGAUAUGUUGGCAAACAAUUUUACUGUUUUCCUCUCUCUUCUUAUGAACGAUAUUUAUAGACUCCGAAUUGCAUUUGGUUCCGCUUUCCGACACAGUUAUCUUCUUGGGCGUGGAUUAAAUGAAGAUCUGGGUGUUGAAAGACAUUUACAUAAGUGCUGUUUGUGAACAGGAAGGCCAGUUCUUCUAUUAUCGCCAGAACAUUUAAAUCUUAAUGACUGGCAUUGUUGUCUAAAAGACGGUGUUUUUCCUGCUGAGAAACUGCAUUAGAUUCAAGAAACGAAGCUCAUUUCCAUUCUCUCAGCAGUCUUCUCUAGAAAUGACAUGCAGUGCUUGAAACUGUUUAUUUCCAAAUUCAGGCCUCCCUCGCAUCAGUCAUCAGCUUCAAUUACCAGUUUUCCGGAGCCGAGCCAUCAGGCAGUCUGACACCGGGGUCCGGCCUAAUUCCCACCUUCUCCAGAGUCAAGAGCAUAAUGUGCGGAUGAAAAGGUGCAAAAUAGCUUGGACUUCAUUAGCAUGCAGGGCCUGGCUGUUCAUUUGCCGGCUGCGGAUGGAAGUUCUGACACUCGGAGCUUGCUGCAAAAUGAGAAAAGUCCUCUUCAGGGGAGAUGAGGUCCUUGGUGGUGAGGAAAGGUCAUCAAAAAGACAGCCGCUGCCCUUGCUCCCUGCUCUCCAUGACUGCUUAUUGAUUCCAGGAACACCUCAUUACACGCCGGAUCAACAUAUUAUUGCCAUGUUCUGGGACUGAAUUGUUUACAAGUGUCUUUAUCGCCAGCAAAGGCCUGCCCGGAGAUGCAUGACUACACUCAUUUGGCUGUGACCCGCCAAUUAUGUGUUAUCCGAUAUGUUGCUGGGUAUCUUGAUCUUUGCCCGGGUCUUCUCCUGGCAUCAACACAGUCCCAUUUACUACUUCUUUCUAACCACUCUUUGGGAAAGUAGCCAUUAGCCUGUCAGUGUGUAAAUGUGCGUGUGUGUGUGUGCGUGUGUGUGUGUGUGUGUGUGUGUUACCUCUGCUACAGGAAAUCUGAGCAUCGAUGCUCCAUUGCUUGCUAUUCAUGAGGUGCAUAAUCAUUUGGGGGAAAGAAAUUCUCACUCACACUCACACACACACACCUUUUUUUAUGGCAUCCAGGGUAACCCACACAAUUUGCAAUCAGUAUGCACAACAGAGAGCAUAAUGCAGCUUGUUAGCAGCUCCCUCUGCUUACAUAUAGGCCCGACGAGAGAGCCGUCAUAUUUUAUUUGGGCAUAGCUACUGCAAACCACUGCACAGGACCAUUUUAAUCUUUCAUUACAGACACUUCUAUGGCUCCAUAAAAGAAAGAGUGGACUAGCAACUUGAUUAAAAACUUAGUAAAGAGAUUGUGCAAACCCUCCCAUCCCUGAAAAGUGGAGCCACAGCCUUAGUUUCUUACUGACGCCACUCUGCAAUGCAAAUGUGACUUCCAUUUCCCUCCAAUGGUGACUACUGACAUAAAUUUAAUGAUGCUGAGAAUUGACAACUUCUAUUAAUUUUUGUGAAUAUUGCUUGGAGAAGGUUUAACGACUCCACCAAACAUUAGGACCGUCUCAACCAAAUACUAAAAAGGGGUCCAUUUCAUUUACAUUUCCUGUUGCCAUCAAGAAUGGCUCUUUAAUGAGUUUUCCGCAGCAGGAUGUAGAGACACAGAUGCCAAGAAACUUGCCUUUAUUUUCUUGGAAGCAUAUAUCCUUGGCAAUGGGCACAUAUUAAUAUGAUGAGUGAACUGAAACUCAAGAAUCUAACUGCCUUCAGAAAAGUGACAUCUGUAUGCACAUUCAUUUCCAGCAAUUUCCCAGAUUUCUUUGGUAUUUGUCUUUCUUUAAUUUUUUCCAGGUAUUUUUUUUCUCUUUCCAAUUUUGAGAGAGGAGUUUUGUAAAGAUACUGAGUUCUUUUGGUUCUUUCCAAAAUCCCUUAGUUUUGGCUUUCUGACAAAUCACUAUUAAUAACUGGAAAAGGCUGAUUAAGACCCCCUCGUCAGGGUGCUUCAACUCAAUUAAAGAGUCCAUCAGGAGAUGUUUACUCCACCCAGUGUUCAAGGACUCUGCUAAUUCUGUACUAUUCUGUACUAUUAUCAACCAAUAAAUAC